CCGUUGUCUAUGGACUCUCAUGGAGAUUCGACCAGGAAGGACUCCCAGCGGACUUGAUCAAGAGGUAACCAAAGCAGGAAAAAACCAAUAAAGAUCGAGUUUUGUUCUAACGAAAAACUGCUAUGAUCAGGAAAAUGGCUGUUCCGGAUCCAAACGCAAAGCACGGACUGGAACUUAUCAUCAAGGACUACCCCUACGCGGUCGACGGCCUCAACAUCUGGGACGCUAUCAAAAACUGGGUGACGGACUACACGGACAUCUUCUACAAGGAGGACGCGUCAGUAGCGGCGGACACCGAGCUCCAGAGCUGGUGGCACGAGAUCCGCUACGUCGGUCACGCAGACAAGAAGGACGCCGACUGGUGGCUCAAGCUCGACUCCAAGAAGAACCUGGUAGAGUUGCUUACCACGGUGAUCUGGUUGGCCUCGGCACACCACGCCGCCGUCAACUUCGGACAGUACGCUUACGCCGGCUACCCGGCAAACCGCCCGACCAUCGCGCACCGCUUCGUCCCGGAGCCCGGCACCAAGGAGCACGAGGAGUUCCUGCAAAACCCCGAGAAGUUUUAUCUGUCAGCAAUCUCGUCCAGAGUGGAAGCUACAACUGUGAUGACAACGAUAGAGAUCCUGUCAACUCACACGGCAGACGAGGAGUACCUGGGCGAGCGCAAGAGCGAGAACUGGACCGGGGACGCUCGAGUCCUCGCCGCCUUUAGCAACUUCACGGCCGCCAUGCGAGAGGUGGA
This 745-nucleotide long non-coding RNA is filed under the name Selaginella moellendorffii. RNAcentral's name for it is "long non-coding RNA (SMOE_LNC000284)". The record is from RNAcentral. Lineage: Eukaryota; Viridiplantae; Streptophyta; Lycopodiopsida; Selaginellales; Selaginellaceae.